UACACACCGCCCGUCAAGCCACGAAAGCGGGGAGUGCUCGAAGUCGCUUUGCUCAACCUUCGGGAGGGCGGCGCCGAAAGCAAGCUCCGUGAUUGGGACU
This 100-nucleotide ribosomal RNA is filed under the name uncultured bacterium. RNAcentral describes it as "partial 16S ribosomal RNA". It matches the Rfam family "Bacterial small subunit ribosomal RNA", at positions 1384 to 1482 of the family's 1533-position model. The record is from RNAcentral.